UGACAACUCUCAACAACGGAUGUCUUGGCUCUCGCAACGAUGAAGAACGCAGCGAAAUGCGAUACGUAGUGUGAUCUGCACUGUACGUGAACCAUCGAAUCUUUGAACGCAUAUUGCGCUCGAGGCUUCGGCCGAGAGCAUGCCUGCCUGAGCGUCAGCG
RNAcentral lists this ribosomal RNA (160 nucleotides) under Mamiella gilva. Its description in RNAcentral is "5.8S ribosomal RNA". It matches the Rfam family "5.8S ribosomal RNA". From Rfam's summary of the family: 5.8S ribosomal RNA (5.8S rRNA) is a component of the large subunit of the eukaryotic ribosome. It is transcribed by RNA polymerase I as part of the 45S precursor that also contains 18S and 28S rRNA. Lineage: Eukaryota; Viridiplantae; Chlorophyta; Mamiellophyceae; Mamiellales; Mamiellaceae. The record is from RNAcentral.